CGGACGGGUGAGUAAUGUAUGGGGAUCUGCCUGAUGGCGGGGGAUAACUACUGGAAACGGUAGCUAAUACCGCAUAACGUCGCAAGACCAAAGAGGGGGACCUUCGGGCCUCUUGCCAUCGGAUGUGCCCAUAUGGGAUUAGCUAGUAGGUAAGGUAACGGCUUACCUAGGCGACGAUCCCUAGCUGGUCUGAGAGGAUGAUCAGCCACACUGGGACUGAGACACGGCCCAG
This 232-nucleotide ribosomal RNA is filed under the name uncultured bacterium. RNAcentral describes it as "partial 16S ribosomal RNA". It matches the Rfam family "Bacterial small subunit ribosomal RNA", at positions 99 to 334 of the family's 1533-position model. The record is from RNAcentral.